GAGGAAUAUUGGUCAAUGGACGAAAGUCUGAACCAGCCAUGCCGCGUGCAGGAAGACUGCCCUACGGGUUGUAAACUGCUUUUAUGUGGGAAUAAACCCCUGGAUUCUUCCGGGGCUGAAGGUACCACACGAAUAAGGAUCGGCUAACUCCGUGCCAGCAGCCGCGGUAAUACGGAGGAUCCAAGCGUUAUCCGGAUUUAUUGGGUUUAAAGGGUCCGUAGGCGGGACAUUAAGUCAGUGGUGAAAGCCUUCAGCUUAACUGGAGAAUUGCCAUUGAUACUGAUGUUCUUGAGUACACCUGAAGUGGGCGGAAUGUGUCAUGUAGCGGUGAAAUGCAUAGAUAUGACACAGAACACCGAUUGCGAAGGCAGCUCACUAAAGUGUAACUGACGCUGAGGGACGAAAGCGUGGGGAGCGAACAGG
Molecule: ribosomal RNA, 423 nt
Filed under: uncultured bacterium
Lineage: Bacteria
Description: bacterial SSU rRNA
Rfam family: Bacterial small subunit ribosomal RNA
Source: RNAcentral